This 109-nucleotide ribosomal RNA is filed under the name Caerostris darwini. The record is from RNAcentral. Lineage: Eukaryota; Metazoa; Arthropoda; Arachnida; Araneae; Araneidae.
GGCCGUACCAUGCUGAAUAUACCGGUUCUCAUUAGAUCACCGAAGUUAAGCAUCAUUGGGCGCGGUCAGUACUUGGGUGGGUGACCGCCUGGGAACACUGCGUGCCGUU